CCCUUAGAUGUUCUGGGCCGCACACGCGCUACACUGAAGGAGGCAGCGUGUACUCCUGGAUCGAAAGAUUUGGGUAACCCGCGAAUCUCCUUCGUGCUAGGGAUUGAGGUUUGCAAUUAUCCUUCAUGAACGAGGAAUUCCCAGUAAGUGCAAGUCAUAAGCUUGCGCUGACUACGUCCCUGCCCUUUGUACACACCGCCCGUCGCUACUACCGAUUGAAUGAUUUAGUGAGGACUUCGGACUGAGACCGAUGCGGCUUUCGGGCUGCGUCGGUAUUCUGGAAAGAUGUCCAAACUGUAUCAUUUAGAGGAAGUAAAAGUCGUAACA
Molecule: ribosomal RNA, 327 nt
Filed under: uncultured eukaryote
Lineage: Eukaryota
Description: partial 18S ribosomal RNA
Rfam family: Eukaryotic small subunit ribosomal RNA
Source: RNAcentral